CAGAUAUAGGAAGGUUUCAGCCAUUAUUUUUUUCAAUAAACACUCUGCCCAUUUCUUUAUUCCUUCUUCUGAGACUUCUAUAAUGUGAAUGGUGAGAUUCCAGUGUUUCCUCCAGAAAGGCACAUUAUUCCUCCACCAUGGUCUUCUUUUUCCUGUGUACCUUGACCCUGUAGGAGAUGAGACUUCUAAAGUGAUUCCUUUCCCUCUUUUCUCCUCAUCACCCCUUCCCACUCUCUAAGGAAUCUUACCAGGACAUGCCCAAAUUGGUAUCAUUGCUCAUGGUAGGUCUCCUGGAUCCAGCCCCAAGUCUCAUCUUUCCUCUUAUUUGUCCACCAUUUUGCUUGAUCCAUAUGGUUUUCAGGUGCUGGUUCCAUGGCUCUUCCUGAGCCGAAAAUAAGGAAACUCCAUAGACCUUGUCCACUGGAACUCGUUCCCAUCUACCCUCCACUCUAUCCAGCCCCAUGAGGACAAGGAACAUGAUUGGUUUUGCUCACUGCCGUAUCUUCCGUACCUAGUACGUAACAGGACAUCAAUAAAUAUUAGUUGAAUGGAAGAUUAAAUCAACAAAAUGGGUGAUGGAUCUCUGCAGUAAGUGGAAGAGUUCUUCAUGGCCCCCAAGGUUAUAUCCAUCUAGAACUUCAGCACGUAAUUUCAUCUGGAAAUAGUGCCUUUGCGGAUAUAAGUUAGGUAAAACUGAAGAUGAGAUCAUACUGGAUUAGGAUGGGAUCUAAAUCCAAUGAAAAUGUCUUCAUAAAAAACAGGAAAGAACCCAUAGAAACACAAGGAAGAAGGUCAUGUGAAGAUGGAGGCAGAGAUUGGAGGGAUGCAGCCACCGGCCCAGGAAUGCCAGCAGCCACCCAGAAGCUGGAAGGAAAUGAGGGAUUCUCUCCUAGAACCUUUAGAGAGAACAUGGUCCUGUGAACAGCUUGAUUUUGGACUUGCCCAUAGCUUGUAUACUCUUACUUUGGAUACAAUUUUAUCCAAACUUGGCUAAACAGUUUCUCAGCCUAUGGAAAAUUUAAAAUGGAGAAGAUUCAACUCGAUUCUUACAGAUUCAAAGCAAGAAAAUGAUGGGAACAUAGGAGGAGACCAAGAAAGCCUAUAAAAAGCAAAAAUAUGAAGUGAACAUUGUGGUAGCUUUAAGAUGUUUAGUGUAGCUGCAGGCACCCUAUACACAUGAAAACCCCCAAGGGGAAUCCCCAUAUCACAGUGUAGUGUGAUAUUUGACAUUCGUGAUCAUCUAGAGAUGUACAGAAAAGGUGAAUCUGUGUUCUGUAUAUUCUGCCUAAGGCAAAGAAAUGUUUAGCUCUCUUUAAAAUAGUUCCAUAAUUUUUUCUAAAAAGCUUUGCUUGAAAACUGUAAGCUUCCCAUAUCUGGAGCAUUUCACUUUAAAUAUUUGGAUAAAUAUGUUAUCUUCUUACUUGGACAUUUCAUGUGUUUAGGGAUUGUCUUCUAAAUUCUUCCUAAUUCAUAUAGCUGCUAACACUUCCCGCAGAGCUAAACCAUUACAGAUAUGAAAUAAAGACCUAUUGAUUUGACUUAC
This is a long non-coding RNA of Homo sapiens (human), 1543 nucleotides long. Ensembl annotates it as androgen receptor regulated long noncoding RNA 1. Its record names the gene ARLNC1. NCBI's taxonomy places the organism in Eukaryota, Metazoa, Chordata, Mammalia, Primates, Hominidae. The record is from Ensembl.